UCUCGAUUCGUCUAGUGGUUAGGAUACCUGCUUGUCAUUCAAUCUUUAAUGAUCGCAGGUGGCCGGGGUUCAAUUCCCCGAUCGAGAG
Non-coding RNA from Daldinia bambusicola, 88 nucleotides. Lineage: Eukaryota; Fungi; Ascomycota; Sordariomycetes; Xylariales; Hypoxylaceae. The record is from the annotation of a GenBank genome assembly.